UACGGGGGGUGCGAGCGUUGUCCGGAAUCACUGGGCGUAAAGGGCGCGUAGGUGGUUUGAUAAGGGUGUGGUGAAAGUCCGGGGCUCAACCCCGGAUCUGCCGUGCCGACUGUCAAACUCGAGGACUGUAGAGGCAGACGGAAUUCCGGGUGUAGCGGUGGAAUGCGUAGAGAUCCGGAGGAAUACCGAUGGCGAAGGCAGCCCCCUGGGAUAACACUGACGCUCAUGUACGAAAGCGUGGGUAGCAAACAGG
Molecule: ribosomal RNA, 253 nt
Filed under: uncultured bacterium
Lineage: Bacteria
Description: partial 16S ribosomal RNA
Rfam family: Bacterial small subunit ribosomal RNA
Source: RNAcentral